AGUCACUGACAUUAGAUACCCGCGUAGUCCAGGGUGUAAACGCUGCAGACUUGGUGUUGGAGGCCCUUUGGGGCAUUCAGUGCCGGAGAGAAGUUGUUAAGUCUGCUACUUGGGGAGUACGUCCGCAAGGAUGAAACUUAAAGGAAUUGGCGGGGGAGCACCGCAACGGGAGGAGCGUGCGGUUUAAUUGGAUUCAACACCGUAAACUCACCAGGGAAGACUGUUACAUGAAGGCCGAGAUGAAGACUCUGCUAGAUUUUCAG
RNAcentral lists this ribosomal RNA (263 nucleotides) under uncultured archaeon. RNAcentral describes it as "partial 16S ribosomal RNA". It matches the Rfam family "Archaeal small subunit ribosomal RNA", at positions 716 to 982 of the family's 1478-position model. The record is from RNAcentral.